Long non-coding RNA from Pangasianodon hypophthalmus (striped catfish), 177 nucleotides. RefSeq lists it as uncharacterized. NCBI's taxonomy places the organism in Eukaryota, Metazoa, Chordata, Actinopteri, Siluriformes, Pangasiidae. The transcript has 3 exons. The record is from RefSeq and is a predicted model, not a curated record.
CAGGUUGUGUAGAAACGGACCGCGUUUUCAUCAAAUGGACCCCUGAAACAAACAUAUCACUUUCCUUAAGAUGCUCCUAUAAACCUCACGACAGACCUGAGAAUAUGACAUGUGACAUCACCUGCAGAAACAACACUCAAAGACCUUGACACCUCUCUGAAAAAAAAACAGAAACAG